AGCUCGGGGCUGGGCUGAAGAGCUGGGCGGGCGGCGGUCCUCCCGGCAGAGACGCGGAGGCGACGGGCGACUGGCCCAGGCGGGGAAGGCUCUGUCUUAAACCCCACGUCCUUGGGAAGAGGGGGUCCGGCCCCGGCCCCCGCGCGUGGACUUGGCGAGGCUUUCCCUGCAGGCGAGGGCGCGGCGGUCGCUUGAAGCCCAAAGCCCCUUCUCCUUCGCGGCCGCGGCCCCCAGCCCCGUCCCGUGCCGGCCGGGGUCGCGCCAGCCUAGGGUCUAGGCACGUCCGGAGGAGAGGCGGAGUAGAGAGCACCGAAGAGGCUGAAGCCCGGAGAAAGCGGACGGACGCCGACAGGCCCCGGGUUCCCAGCCCGACCGACUGGGGAGGAGGCCCGGGGUCCAACCGAAGCGCCCUGGAGGCUCUGCAGGGACUCCUCGCGGACACUCCCUUCUCCUAAAAGAAUGGCGGCAGGCUCGGGCGCGGCCACCGCCUCCUCGGGCAGCGCGAGCGCAGGCACCCACCUGCCCAGCUGGACUACAUUUCCCAGCCUCCCUUGCAGUUGACUAAGUUCUUAACAGUGGAAUGCAAGCAGAAGUGAUGGAGAAUUACUAAGGGAAGAUCAACAGACAACUGGGAUGACUAUGAGUGCAGAAGACUGACAAGACUUCCUCUGUUGCUCCUAGUGACCAGUGGGGGUAUUUCUAUAGCUCCCAGAACAUGUUCUCCCUGCAACCCCCACCUGCUUUUUUAUUAAAUGCCCUGAAUUGCCCUUUUGGAUCAAAACUUUAUCAUGUCAGUCAAAGUAGGCUUGCUGCAGCCCACCUCAUGGCUAAAGAUAUCAGAUGUGUAAAAGAUGAUAGGUGAGACACAUUUUCAUGAAUAGUAGCUCUUUGUGCAUUGAUGUUCUGCUAGCGUGCAGAAAAUGCAUUUUACUGGGUUCCUGGAAAUGCGUAAUGGAUGUCGGCACAUAGAGCAUGGAUUCUGCCAUGGGUCACACUUGGGUUUAAAUUCUCUCUCUGGAAAAAUCAGAGAGGGUGACGAAACAUGAGAGAGUCCUAACUCUGGGAAAUGAACAAGGGGUAGUGGAAA
Long non-coding RNA from Canis lupus familiaris (dog), 1087 nucleotides. RefSeq lists it as uncharacterized. NCBI's taxonomy places the organism in Eukaryota, Metazoa, Chordata, Mammalia, Carnivora, Canidae. The record is from RefSeq and is a predicted model, not a curated record. The transcript has 3 exons.